RNAcentral lists this ribosomal RNA (439 nucleotides) under uncultured bacterium. Its description in RNAcentral is "partial 16S ribosomal RNA". It matches the Rfam family "Bacterial small subunit ribosomal RNA", at positions 339 to 795 of the family's 1533-position model. The record is from RNAcentral.
CUACGGGGUGCACCAGUGGGGAAUAUUGCACAAUGGAGGAAACUCUGAUGCAGCAACGCCGCGUGGAGGAUGACACUUUUCGGAGCGUAAACUCCUUUUAUAUAGGAAGAAGAUGACGGUACUAUAUGAAUAAGCGCCGGCUAACUCCGUGCCAGCAGCCGCGGUAAUACGGAGGGCGCAAGCGUUACUCGGAAUCACUGGGCGUAAAGAGCGUGUAGGCGGAUUAAAAAGUCAGAAGUGAAAUCCUAUAGCUUAACUAUAGAACUGCUUCUGAAACUCUUAAUCUAGAAUAUGGGAGAGGUAGAUGGAAUUUCUGGUGUAGGGGUAAAAUCCGUAGAGAUCAGAAGGAAUACCGAUUGCGAAGGCGAUCUACUAGAACAUUAUUGACGCUGAGACGCGAAAGCGUGGGGAGCAAACAGGAUUAGAUACCCCAGUAGUC